CUACGGGUGGCUGCAGUGGGGAAUCUUGUACAAUGGGCGCAAGCCUGAUCCAGCCAUGCCGCGUGAGUGAAGAAGGCCUUAGGGUCGUAAAGCUCUUUCGCCAGAGAUGAUAAUGACAGUAUCUGGUAAAGAAACCCCGGCUAACUCCGUGCCAGCAGCCGCGGUAAUACGGAGGGGGUUAGCGUUGUUCGGAAUUACUGGGCGUAAAGCGCGCGUAGGCGGAUUAGUCAGUCAGAGGUGAAAUCCCAGGGCUCAACCCUGGAACUGCCUUUGAUACUGCUAGUCUUGAGUUCGGGAGAGGUGAGUGGAAUUCCGAGUGUAGAGGUGAAAUUCGUAGAUAUUCGGAGGAACACCAGUGGCGAAGGCGGCUCACUGGCUCGAUACUGACGCUGAGGUGCGAAAGUGUGGGGAGCAAACAGGAUUAGAUACCCCCGUAGUC
RNAcentral lists this ribosomal RNA (439 nucleotides) under uncultured bacterium. Its description in RNAcentral is "partial 16S ribosomal RNA". It matches the Rfam family "Bacterial small subunit ribosomal RNA", at positions 339 to 795 of the family's 1533-position model. The record is from RNAcentral.